This 534-nucleotide ribosomal RNA is filed under the name Kyklioacalles suturatus. RNAcentral describes it as "partial 16S ribosomal RNA". It matches the Rfam family "Bacterial large subunit ribosomal RNA", at positions 1819 to 2624 of the family's 2925-position model. Lineage: Eukaryota; Metazoa; Arthropoda; Insecta; Coleoptera; Curculionidae. The record is from RNAcentral.
GGCCUUUUGAGUUUGAUUUAAGGUCUUACCUGCCCAAUGAUAAAUUAAAUGGCCGCAGUAUUCUGACUGUGCAAAGGUAGCAUAAUCGUUAGUUUUUUAAUUGAAAGCUUGUAUGAAAGGUUUGAUGAGAAAAGGACUGUCUCUAUCUAAAAAUUUAGAAAUUUAUUUUUAAGUUAAAAAGCUUAAAUUUUUAUUGAAGACGAGAAGACCCUAUAGAGUUUUAUUUAUUCAUAAAUAGAGGAAAUUUAGUAUUUAAGAUUUUAUUAUUUUUAAAUAAAUUUAGUUGGGGUGAUUGAAAAAUUUAUUAAACUUUUUUUGUAUUUUUACAUUGAUUUAUGAAUUUAUGAUCCUUAUUAAAGAUUAUAAGAUGAAAUUACCUUAGGGAUAACAGCGUAAUUUUUUUUAGAGUUCUUAUCGAAAAAAAAGAUUGCGACCUCGAUGUUGGAUUAAAAUUAAAUUUUUGGUGUAGAAGCUAAAAGAUUGGGUCUGUUCGACCUUUAAAAUUUUACAUGAUCUGAGUUUAAACCGGCGUGA